RNAcentral lists this long non-coding RNA (717 nucleotides) under Panax ginseng (ginseng). Its description in RNAcentral is "long non-coding RNA (PGIN_LNC002797)". The record is from RNAcentral. Lineage: Eukaryota; Viridiplantae; Streptophyta; Magnoliopsida; Apiales; Araliaceae.
UCUUCAUUUUUGAUUAUCAUUAUUUGCUUAUUUGGUUCUCAUUUUUUCUUUUCUUUUUAAGUUUUUUUUAAAAGAUUUUGUUUUCUCUUAAUUUUGAAUUAAAUAUAUUGUUCUUUUUUCUUCCAAGUUUGUUAGAAGAAGAAAAACAAAAUUAGGUCAACACUAUAUUCAUAUAUUUCAAGGGCCAUCUCAUUCUUAUUUAAAAUCAAACCAUAUCAUAUACAAAAUUCCCAACGUCAACAUUGAUUCAUCACAAGCACAUAUUUCUGGUAAAUGCAAAAAAGAAUUAAAAUUCAAGCAGCCUCGGCUCAUUUUCAUAGUUGCAACUUAGUAACUUACUGAAGGUAGAAAUCUACAUCAUAGAAGAAUUUGCGAAGUCAUAUUACUACUACAUUUUUAAACCAAAAGCGGAAUACAAAACUAAUCGAGAUGAAUUUUGCGGACACUAGCUAGGGGUAAAAAAAAUUACAGUGAACUUUAGGUACCACAGAGAGAGAGAGAUAGAUCUAAGUUAGCUCUAAGCUUGUUCGAAGAAGAGCCGUAGCAGUGGUUUAAGUUUGACUUAGAGUAUGAAGAAGAGAUAGUCUCGCUGAUUUCACUCGUUGAAGAAGCAUUGCUUCUCUGAGUGGAAGGAUGCUGCAAUGAGAGUGACAAUGACAAUCCACAACCCCGAUCGUCGUCUUCAUCAACUUCAUGNNNNNNNNNNNNNNNNNNNNN